This 1346-nucleotide ribosomal RNA is filed under the name uncultured bacterium. RNAcentral's name for it is "partial 16S ribosomal RNA". It matches the Rfam family "Bacterial small subunit ribosomal RNA", at positions 28 to 1381 of the family's 1533-position model. The record is from RNAcentral.
GACGAACGCUGGCGGUGUGCUUAACACAUGCAAGUCGAACGGAAAGGCCCUGCUUUUGUGGGGUGCUCGAGUGGCGAACGGGUGAGUAACACGUGAGUAACCUGCCCUUGACUUUGGGAUAACUUCAGGAAACUGGGGCUAAUACCGGAUAGGAGCUCCUGCUGCAUGAUGGGGGUUGGAAAGUUUCGGCGGUUGGGGAUGGACUCGCGGCUUAUCAGCUUGUUGGUGGGGUAGUGGCUUACCAAGGCUUUGACGGGUAGCCGGCCUGAGAGGGUGACCGGCCACAUUGGGACUGAGAUACGGCCCAGACUCCUACGGGAGGCAGCAGUGGGGAAUAUUGCACAAUGGGCGGAAGCCUGAUGCAGCAACGCCGCGUGCGGGAUGACGGCCUUCGGGUUGUAAACCGCUUUCGCCUGUGACGAAGCGUAAGUGACGGUAAUGGGUAAAGAAGCACCGGCUAACUACGUGCCAGCAGCCGCGGUGAUACGUAGGGUGCGAGCGUUGUCCGGAUUUAUUGGGCGUAAAGGGCUCGUAGGUGGUUGAUCGCGUCGGAAGUGUAAUCUUGGGGCUUAACCCUGAGCGUGCUUUCGAUACGGGUUGACUUGAGGAAGGUAGGGGAGAAUGGAAUUCCUGGUGGAGCGGUGGAAUGCGCAGAUAUCAGGAGGAACACCAGUGGCGAAGGCGGUUCUCUGGGCCUUUCCUGACGCUGAGGAGCGAAAGCGUGGGGAGCGAACAGGCUUAGAUACCCUGGUAGUCCACGCUGUAAACGGUGGGUACUAGGUGUGGGGUCCAUUCCACGGGUUCCGUGCCGUAGCUAACGCUUUAAGUACCCCGCCUGGGGAGUACGGCCGCAAGGCUAAAACUCAAAGGAAUUGACGGGGCCCCGCACAAGCGGCGGAGCAUGCGGAUUAAUUCGAUGCAACGCGUAGAACCUUACCUGGGUUUGACAUGGAUCGGGAGUGCUCAGAGAUGGGUGUGCCUCUUUUGGGGUCGGUUCACAGGUGGUGCAUGGCUGUCGUCAGCUCGUGUCGUGAGAUGUUGGGUUAAGUCCCGCAACGAGCGCAACCCUUGUUCACUGUUGCCAGCACGUUAUGGUGGGGACUCAGUGGAGACCGCCGGGGUCAACUCGGAGGAAGGUGGGGAUGACGUCAAGUCAUCAUGCCCCUUAUGUCCAGGGCUUCACGCAUGCUACAAUGGCUGGUACAGAGAGUGGCGAGCCUGUGAGGGUGAGCGAAUCUCGGAAAGCCGGUCUCAGUUCGGAUUGGGGUCUGCAACUCGACCUCAUGAAGUCGGAGUCGCUAGUAAUCGCAGAUCAGCAACGCUGCGGUGAAUACGUUCCCGGGGCU